Molecule: non-coding RNA, 975 nt
Organism: Danio rerio (zebrafish)
Lineage: Eukaryota; Metazoa; Chordata; Actinopteri; Cypriniformes; Danionidae
Source: RefSeq, a predicted model, not a curated record
CUAUCCCAAGGUUCAUUGCGAUCCCAAGGUUCACUGCGGUUUUCCACAAGCCUGUUUCUGCCUAUCACCAUGAGUGAUUCCUCAAUACUCAGAUUUAUCAUCAAGAUCUCAAUUAUAAGCUCAAGUUUUGAUGACAACUUGGUGAUCUGCAGAAAGCACCACCAUGUAAGGAAGGCCAAGACCACUCUGGAAUCAGUCAAGGCUCAUAGGAACUCCAAUCUUCCCAACUGUGAGAGGGCCUUGCUCCAGUGACUGUGAAAUGGAGUGAGGCAUACCAGGAUAUGCCUGGUUUUACUUUUGGGAAGGAGGUUGAACAGUGCAAUAUUUCUUCUAUAGGAUUGGAGUGACCAGACAUGCUACUGUAACUCUCAUGGUCAUGUGCUGGAAUUAGCAGAUAUUCAACAAUUUGGCCAUCUCUCUGACCUAUUGAUAUCAGAAGACCGCAACAGCUCUGCAAAGCAAGUUGCAAAACAGAAUCCAUGAAACUGGCAGUGACUGGAAACCAAUUGGAAGACUUUGGUCUGUGAUGUAGAGGAGUGGGCAGAGGUAGCAGAAGCAAAGACAACAAAAAACAGAAGUGAUAUGGAUGUCUUCGUCAUAUUGCAUGACUUUGCUGACCCAGCAACAAAGAGGAGGGUGUUCAACAUCAUCCUGCUAGUCAGGAUUCUUCAGGAGAAGCAGUGGAUUCUUGUGGCAGAGAUGGUCAACCACUAUAAAUACCUUUCAACUCAUCCUGGUUCUUUCAAAGAACUUUCCUGCUUGUUUGCUUCUGAAAAGUACUGAUUCGACAUGUGGCCUUAACGAAGAGGGGUUAAAAGGUCUAUGGAUCAUCAUUCUCAAAAAGCAACAAAAUAACUGAGAAAUAAACAACAAUAAGAUGGUGCAAUCUAGAAACCUGCAAGGUACCUGCAAGUUUUGGCUGGAGCAGAGAACAUAGAUUUUUUUUAAAUAAAGCUCCAGCUGAUGAGUAUGACA